CCGGGCGCAGCUGUUAGAGGAGUGAAGUGCACCGCCAUCGCAGCCAUGUCAUCCCGCAAAGAUCUCCGUUACACCGCCAGUGCUUUCUGCUAAAACGCCUCCCCGUUAGCGAUUCUCACGUACGAGGGGUCUCUUCCUUUUUAAAUACAAGGCCAGCGAUGCCCUCACCAGCCUCUCUCUCUUAGAACGAUCUGCUGCAUAAAAAGCCUGGUUACUAUUCAAUUUCGCACCGUCCACGUUGAGGUUGAUCAAUGAGGCAACUUCGGGAACGGGGCAAGUUCAGCGCUGCUGCGGACACGGAGCGGCGGAGCCCCGUAACCUGCGGGCUGAUCAUAUAUCCCGCGAAGGCGGCAUUCAUCUCUGUACACGAUGGCAGCAUUUUGGGGGUUUAAAAUAAAACUACGGGGACGUUUCACGUA
This is a long non-coding RNA of Brienomyrus brachyistius, 419 nucleotides long. RefSeq lists it as uncharacterized. The transcript is spliced from 2 exons. The record is from RefSeq and is a predicted model, not a curated record. Lineage: Eukaryota; Metazoa; Chordata; Actinopteri; Osteoglossiformes; Mormyridae.